AGUGAACGCUGGCGGCAGGCCUAACACAUGCAAGUCGAGCGGCAGCGCGGGGCAACCUGGCGGCGAGCGGCGGACGGGUGAGGAAUGCAUCGGAAUCUACCCUGUCGUGGGGGAUAACGUAGGGAAACUUACGCUAAUACCGCAUACGAACGAGAGGUGAAAGUGGGGGACCUUCGGGCCUCACGCGAUUGGAUGAGCCG
This 200-nucleotide ribosomal RNA is filed under the name uncultured bacterium. Its description in RNAcentral is "partial 16S ribosomal RNA". It matches the Rfam family "Bacterial small subunit ribosomal RNA", at positions 29 to 232 of the family's 1533-position model. The record is from RNAcentral.